Molecule: ribosomal RNA, 495 nt
Filed under: uncultured bacterium
Lineage: Bacteria
Description: partial 16S ribosomal RNA
Rfam family: Bacterial small subunit ribosomal RNA
Source: RNAcentral
GACGAACGCUGGCGGCGUGCCUAAUACAUGCAAGUAGAACGCUGAAGGAGGAGCUUGCUCUUCUGGAUGAGUUGCGAACGGGUGAGUAACGCGUAGGUAACCUGCCUGGUAGCGGGGGAUAACUAUUGGAAACGAUAGCUAAUACCGCAUAACAGUAGAUGUUGCAUGACAUUUGCUUAAAAGGUGCAAUUGCACCACUACCAGAUGGACCUGCGUUGUAUUAGCUAGUUGGUGGGGUAACGGCUCACCAAGGCGACGAUACAUAGCCGACCUGAGAGGGUGGUCGGCCACACUGGGACUGAGACACGGCCCAGACUCCUACGGGAGGCAGCAGUAGGGAAUCUUCGGCAAUGGACGGAAGUCUGACCGAGCAACGCCGCGUGAGUGAAGAAGGUUUUCGGAUCGUAAAGCUCUAUUGUAAGAGAAGAACGAGUGUGAGAGUGGAAAGUUCACACUGUGACGGUAUCUUACCAGAAAGGGACGGCUAACUACGUG